UGGGGAAUAUUGCACAAUGGGCGCAAGCCUGAUGCAGCCAUGCCGCGUGUGUGAAGAAGGCCUUCGGGUUGUAAAGCACUUUCAGCGGGGAGGAAGGCGUUAAGGUUAAUAACCUUGGCGAUUGACGUUACCCGCAGAAGAAGCACCGGCUAACUCCGUGCCAGCAGCCGCGGUAAUACGGAGGGUGCAAGCGUUAAUCGGAAUUACUGGGCGUAAAGCGCACGCAGGCGGUUGAUUGAGUCAGAUGUGAAAUCCCCGGGCUUAACCCGGGAAUUGCAUCUGAUACUGGUCAGCUAGAGUCUUGUAGAGGGGGGUAGAAUUCCAUGUGUAGCGAUGAAAUGCGUAGAGAUCUGGAGGAAUACCGGUGGCGAAGGCGGCCCCCUGGACGAAGACUGACGCUCAGGUGCGAAAGCGUGGGGAGCAAACAGG
Molecule: ribosomal RNA, 429 nt
Filed under: Chloroflexota bacterium
Lineage: Bacteria; Bacillati; Chloroflexota
Description: Chloroflexi bacterium partial 16S ribosomal RNA
Rfam family: Bacterial small subunit ribosomal RNA
Source: RNAcentral